RNAcentral lists this microRNA precursor (190 nucleotides) under Oryza rufipogon (brownbeard rice). Its description in RNAcentral is "MIR812 microRNA precursor family". It matches the Rfam family "MIR812 microRNA precursor family". The record is from Rfam by way of RNAcentral. Lineage: Eukaryota; Viridiplantae; Streptophyta; Magnoliopsida; Poales; Poaceae.
AACAGAUGACGCCGUUGACUUUUUAUCACAUGUUUGAUCAUUCGUCUUAUUCAAAAAAUUUACGUAAUUAUAAUUUAUUUUGUUAUGAGUUGUUUUAUCAUUCAUAUUACUUUAAGUAUACAUUUGCACAAAAUUUUUGAAUAAGACGAAUGGUCAAACAUGUAAGAAAAAGUCAAUGGCGUCAUCUAUU